This 214-nucleotide long non-coding RNA is filed under the name Brassica rapa (field mustard). RNAcentral describes it as "long non-coding RNA (BRAP_LNC005624)". The record is from RNAcentral. Lineage: Eukaryota; Viridiplantae; Streptophyta; Magnoliopsida; Brassicales; Brassicaceae.
AAAUAUUUAAAUCAUCGAUAACAAAAUUUUCAAUCUGAAAUCUUUAAUAAGUUUAUAAUUUAUAAAUGUUCUUGAAAAUUCAUUGAAAGUUUUAAUAUUAAAAUAUUUAUGUAAUCUUAUGGUAUAUAGUGUUUAAUCUAUAUAUAUAUAUACUUUUUUUUAUUAUUAAAUGAUAUUUUUUACUCAUAUGGUUUUAAAAUCAUGUGUAUCUUCU